CUACGGGACGCUGCAGGCGAGAAAACUUUGCAAUGUGCGAAAGCACGACAAGGUUAAUCCGAGUGGUUUGUGCUAAACGAACCUUUUGACAGUCCUAGAAACACUGUUGAAUAAGGGGUGGGCAAGUUCUGGUGUCAGCCGCCGCGGUAAAACCAGCACCUCAAGUAGUCAGGAUGAUUAUUGGGCCUAAAGCAUCCGUAGCCGGCUCUGUAAGUUUUCGGUUAAAUCUGUACGCUCAACGUACAGGCUGCCGGGAAUACUGCAGAGCUAGGGAGUGGGAGAGGUAGACGGUACUCGGUAGGAAGGGGUAAUAUCCUUUGAUCUAUUGAUGACCACCUGUGGCGAAGGCGGUCUACCAGAACACGCCCGACGGUGAGGGAUGAAAGCUGGGGGAGCAAACCGGAUUAGAUACCCUCGUAGUC
RNAcentral lists this ribosomal RNA (422 nucleotides) under uncultured archaeon. RNAcentral describes it as "partial 16S ribosomal RNA". It matches the Rfam family "Archaeal small subunit ribosomal RNA", at positions 323 to 746 of the family's 1478-position model. The record is from RNAcentral.